Molecule: ribosomal RNA, 626 nt
Filed under: Claviceps sorghicola
Lineage: Eukaryota; Fungi; Ascomycota; Sordariomycetes; Hypocreales; Clavicipitaceae
Description: eukaryotic LSU rRNA
Rfam family: Eukaryotic large subunit ribosomal RNA
Source: RNAcentral
UGAACUUAAGCAUAUCAAUAAGCGGAGGAAAAGAAACCAACAGGGAUUGCCCCAGUAACGGCGAGUGAAGCGGCAACAGCUCAAAUUUGAAAUCUGGCCCCCCCCGCGGGGGCCCGAGUUGUAAUUUGCAGAGGAUGCUUUUGGCGAGGCGCCUUCCGAGUUCCCUGGAACGGGACGCCACAGAGGGUGAGAGCCCCGUCUGGUUGGACGCCGAGCCUCUGUAAAGCUCCUUCGACGAGUCGAGUAGUUUGGGAAUGCUGCUCUAAAUGGGAGGUAUAUGUCUUCUAAAGCUAAAUACCCGCCAGAGACCGAUAGCGCACAAGUAGAGUGAUCGAAAGAUGAAAAGCACUUUGAAAAGAGGGUUAAACAGUACGUGAAAUUGUUGAAAGGGAAGCGCUUGCGACCAGACUUGGGCCCGGCGGAUCAUCCAGCGUUCUCGCUGGUGCACUCCGGCGGGCCCAGGCCAGCAUCAGCUCGCCCCGGGGGACAAAGGCGGCGGGAAUGUGGCUCCUCCGGGAGUGUUAUAGCCCGCCGCGCAAUGCCCUGGGGCGGGCUGAGGACCGCCGCGUUUACGCAUGGAUGCUGGCGUAAUGGUCGCCAGCGACCCGUCUUGAAACACGGACCAA